RNAcentral lists this ribosomal RNA (614 nucleotides) under Paykullia maculata. RNAcentral describes it as "partial 12S ribosomal RNA". The stretch from base 384 to 455 matches the Rfam family "tRNA". Lineage: Eukaryota; Metazoa; Arthropoda; Insecta; Diptera; Rhinophoridae. The record is from RNAcentral.
UAAAAAAUUUGGCGGUAUUUUAGUCUAUUCAGAGGAACUUGUUCUGUAAUCGAUAAUCCACGAUGGACCUUACUUAAAUUUGUUAUCAGUUUAUAUACCGUUGUUAUUAAAAUAUUUUAUUAGAAUGUUAAUUUUUAUAAUUUUAAAAAAGAAAAUAUAUCAGAUCAAGGUGUAGCUAAUAUUUAAGUGGAAAUGAGUUACAAUAAAAUUAUUUAAACGAAUAUAAAUUUGAAAUAUUUAUUGAAGGUGGAUUUGAAAGUAAAAUUAUAAAGAUAAAUAAUUUGAUUAAAGCUCUAAAAUAUGUACAUAUCGCCCGUCACUCUUGUUAUUAAAAUAAGAUAAGUCGUAACAUAGUAGAUGUACUGGAAAGUGUAUCUAGAAUGCAGUUUAAAGCUUAUUAAGUAAAGUAUUUCAUUUACAUUGAAAAGAUUUUUGUGCAAAUCAAUAUAAAUUGAUUAAAUUUUAUUUAUUAAUUUUUUAAAAUUAUAAAUUAAGUUAUUAAAAAUAAUUAUAAAUUUAAUUGUUUUAGUAUUUAAUAAAGAAAAAAUAAUAUUAAUGAUAGUUUAAUAGUAUUGUAAAAGAAAAUUGAAAUAAAUUGAAAAAUUUUUAUUAUA